AGUUUGAUCCUGGCUCAGGAUGAACGCUAGCGGCAGGCUUAACACAUGCAAGUCGAGGGGCAGCGGGGAGGAAGCUUGCUUUCUCCGCCGGCGACCGGCGCACGGGUGAGUAACACGUAUGCAACCUGCCCCUGUCAGGGGGACAACCCGCCGAAAGGCGGGCUAAACCCGCGUACAUGCCACCGGGGCAUCCCGGAGGCAGGAAAGGCUUCGGCCGGACAGGGAUGGGCAUGCGGCGCAUUAGGCAGUAGGCGGGGUAACGGCCCACCUAACCGACGAUGCGUAGGGGUUCUGAGAGGAAGGUCCCCCACACUGGUACUGAGACACGGACCAGACUCCUACGGGAGGCAGCAGUGAGGAAUAUUGGUCAAUGGUCGGGAGACUGAACCAGCCAAGCCGCGUGAGGGAGGAAGGUACAGAGUAUCGUAAACCUCUUUUGUCAGGGAACAAAGACUGGGACGCGUCCCCGGAUGAGUGUACCUGAAGAAAAAGCAUCGGCUAACUCCGUGCCAGCAGCCGCGGUAAUACGGAGGAUGCGAGCGUUAUCCGGAUUUAUUGGGUUUAAAGGGUGCGCAGGCGGUCUGUUAAGUCAGCGGUCAAAGCCCGGGGCUCAACCCCGGCCCGCCGUUGAAACUGGCAGUCUCGAGUUGGAGAGAAGUAUGCGGAAUGCGCGGUGUAGCGGUGAAAUGCAUAGAUAUCGCGCAGAACUCCGAUUGCGAAGGCAGCAUGCCGGCUCCACACUGACGCUGAGGCACGAAAGCGUGGGUAUCGAACAGGAUUAGAUACCCUGGUAGUCCACGCAGUAAACGAUGAAUGCUGGCUGUCCGGGGGGACUGACCCCUGGGUGGCGAAGCGAAAGCGAUAAGCAUUCCACCUGGGGAGUACGCCGGCAACGGUGAAACUCAAAGGAAUUGACGGGGGCCCGCACAAGCGGAGGAACAUGUGGUUUAAUUCGAUGAUACGCGAGGAACCUUACCCGGGCUCAAACGGGGAGUGACUCAGGCAGAGACGCCUGUUUCCCACGGGACACUCCCCGAGGUGCUGCAUGGUUGUCGUCAGCUCGUGCCGUGAGGUGUCGGCUUAAGUGCCAUAACGAGCGCAACCCCCGCGUGCAGUUGCUAACAGAUAACGCUGAGGACUCUGCACGGACUGCCGGCGCAAGCCGCGAGGAAGGCGGGGAUGACGUCAAAUCAGCACGGCCCUUACGUCCGGGGCGACACACGUGUUACAAUGGGUGGUACAGCGGGAAGCCAGGCGGCGACGCCGAGCGGAACCCGAAAUCCACUCUCAGUUCGGAUCGGAGUCUGCAACCCGACUCCGUGAAGCUGGAUUCGCUAGUAAUCGCGCAUCAGCCAUGGCGCGGUGAAUACGUUCCCGGGCCUUGCACACACCGCCCGUCAAG
RNAcentral lists this ribosomal RNA (1402 nucleotides) under uncultured bacterium. RNAcentral's name for it is "bacterial SSU rRNA". It matches the Rfam family "Bacterial small subunit ribosomal RNA". The record is from RNAcentral.